Long non-coding RNA from Clupea harengus (Atlantic herring), 847 nucleotides. NCBI's taxonomy places the organism in Eukaryota, Metazoa, Chordata, Actinopteri, Clupeiformes, Clupeidae. The record is from Ensembl.
GACCAAAAGCCACGCCUCUCUGCCUCAUCUACCUCAUCUACAUCCUGCUCUCAAGGAUGUGGGCAGGCUGCCGUCAGUUCUCAUUUGCCUCCUGCACCAUGGCGAGCAUGUUUCCCAUCACUGUGUUUCUGUUGCUAAUUUACGCAGGAAUCUCACAAGGACAAAAUUUGACAACAUCAACAGUAACAGCUUCCACGUCGUCAUCAACAAAAGUGUCUACAUCAUCAUCAGCAGCAGCAGCUGCAGACACAUCCCCAAGCGCCCCUGUCAGUCCUGCUCUCACUACCACUAGCACUGCCUUAGCAGCUAGUGAGGCUAAGACAACAUCGGAAGCUGCAGCUACAGGUCAUCACUCCACACAACCAACGCAGCCUGCACAGUCCAGCGCCACAGCCAGUCACAAUGCCUCUGACUCCGCCAUCACAGAGGUGGCUGCUACACACACACCCUCUGUGAAUCAGUCAACACUCUCUCCAAACUCCUCGGCCUCCGGCAGACCCACGGCACGUGGACCACUCGUCUCGAGCACGAGCUCAAACACGGGUACAGCAAAGCUACUGUACAGGAGCCCAGGACUGGUAGCGGUUUUGUGCAUAUUCGUCAUCAUUCUGGCCUUACUGUUGGUGAUUGGGCUAACAAAGGGCUUGACCUCCAGUAAUUCAAAGUUUGAAAGACUGGAAGAAGUACCAAUGGGCAAAAUGAAUGAGGAAUCUCCAUUUGCACAGUACCCACCCAAAUGAACAAGUCAACUCAUGAGGCAUGACAGAGAGGACAAAUAAUUACUUCGAAAUAUUACUGUGUACAUGUGUAAACAAGUGUUUAUGAGGCAAAAUAAAUCAAAUAAAGG